Non-coding RNA from Aeromonas sp., 38 nucleotides. The record is from Rfam. Lineage: Bacteria; Pseudomonadati; Pseudomonadota; Gammaproteobacteria; Aeromonadales; Aeromonadaceae.
CAGCAUUCUGGGAGCUGGAACUUAGGGGCGGUAGCUUA